GACGAACGCUGGCGGCGUGCUUAACACAUGCAAGUCGAACGGAAAGGCCCUGCUUUUUUGGUGUGCCCGAGUGGCGAACGGGUGAGUAACACGUGAGUAACCUGCUCUUGACUUUCGGGUAGCUUCAGGUAACUGGAGCUACGAUCGUAUAGGAGCUCCUGUUGCAGGGUGGGGGUGGGAAAGUUUCGGCGGGUGGGGAUGGACUGGCGGCUUAUCGGCUUGUUGGUGGGGGAGUGGCUUACCAAGGCUUUGACGGGUAGCCGGCCUGUGAGGGUGACCGGGGACAUGGGGACUGAGAUACGGACCAGACUCCUACGGGAGGCAGCAGUGGGGAAUAUUGCACAAUGGGCGGAAGCCUGAUGCAGCAACGCCGCGUGCGGGAAGACGGCCUUCGGGUUGUAAACCGCUUUCGCCUGUGACCAAGCGUGAGUGACGGUAAUGGGUAAAGAAGCACCGGCUAACUACGUG
RNAcentral lists this ribosomal RNA (468 nucleotides) under uncultured bacterium. Its description in RNAcentral is "partial 16S ribosomal RNA". It matches the Rfam family "Bacterial small subunit ribosomal RNA", at positions 28 to 507 of the family's 1533-position model. The record is from RNAcentral.